This 569-nucleotide ribosomal RNA is filed under the name Protoginella maestratii. RNAcentral describes it as "partial 12S ribosomal RNA". The record is from RNAcentral. Lineage: Eukaryota; Metazoa; Mollusca; Gastropoda; Neogastropoda; Marginellidae.
AAAACUAAAGGGCUAAAUUAUAUUUUAUAGGUAAAAAGGUGGUUAGGUGAUUAGGAUGCAUUAGUUGUUUUAAAUGUUGUUUUUAUAGUUAGGCUUAUAUAGGUGAAAUUUAUAUGCUUGAGUUUAAAUUUAAUUACUUUAGUGUUGAAUCCACUAAGAUUAGCGUAGAAACUGGGAUUAGAUACCCCAUUAUUGCUAAUUCUGAAAUUUUACAUGCCUGGGGAGUACUGGUUUUUAAUUGAUUUUACUUGAAACUCAAAAGAUUUGGCGGUGUUUUAGACCCCUUAGGGGAGCUUGUCUCGUAAUCGAUAAUCCACGUUAGACCCAAUUUUUUUUAUUAGUUUGUAUACCGUCGUCGUUAGCUGGCCUUUUAGAGUUUAACAGUCUUCUAUUUAUAUUUGUAUUAUAUAAUAUGUCAGAUAAAGGUGCAGCUUAUAGAGAAAUGAGGAUGAGCUACAAUUAUAAUAUUUAUAUAUCAAAUGGACGUAUUAAAAUUUUUUGUCUUGAAGGAGGACUUAAAAGUAAAAUAGAUAUUAUAUAAAUGUUUUGAAUUUGGCUCUGAAAUGCGU